Molecule: transfer RNA, 68 nt
Filed under: Echinorhinus cookei (prickly shark)
Lineage: Eukaryota; Metazoa; Chordata; Chondrichthyes; Echinorhiniformes; Echinorhinidae
Description: tRNA-Ser
Source: RNAcentral
AAGAGAGGUCUAGGACACAAAGAACUGCUAAUUCUUUCCCCUCGCGGCUCAAAUCCGCGGCUCACUUA